This 164-nucleotide ribosomal RNA is filed under the name Coelogyne naja. Its description in RNAcentral is "5.8S ribosomal RNA". It matches the Rfam family "5.8S ribosomal RNA". Rfam says of the family: 5.8S ribosomal RNA (5.8S rRNA) is a component of the large subunit of the eukaryotic ribosome. It is transcribed by RNA polymerase I as part of the 45S precursor that also contains 18S and 28S rRNA. The record is from RNAcentral. Lineage: Eukaryota; Viridiplantae; Streptophyta; Magnoliopsida; Asparagales; Orchidaceae.
AAAACGACUCUCGGCAAUGGAUAUCUCGGCUCUCGCAUCGAUGAAGAGCGCAGCGAAAUGCGAUACGUGGUGCGAAUUGCAGAAUCCCGCGAACCAUCGAGUCUUUGAACGCAAGUUGCGCCCGAGGCCAACCGGCCAAGGGCACGUCUGCCUGCGCGUCAAGC